RNAcentral lists this ribosomal RNA (262 nucleotides) under uncultured bacterium. RNAcentral's name for it is "partial 16S ribosomal RNA". It matches the Rfam family "Bacterial small subunit ribosomal RNA", at positions 28 to 305 of the family's 1533-position model. The record is from RNAcentral.
AGCGAACGCUGGCGGCAUGCUUAACACAUGCAAGUCGCACGACCGGGUUUCGGCCUGGGAGUGGCGGACGGGUGAGUAUCGCGUAGGGAUUUGUCGUUGGGGUGGGGGACGAACCUUAGGGAAACGUGGGGCGUAAUACCGCAUGACGCCUUUGGGCCAAAGCUCGAGAGGGCGCCUGACGAGGAGCCUGCGUCCGAUUAGGUAGUUGGUUGGGUGAUGGCUGACCAAGCCUGCGANCGGUAGCUGGUCUGAGAGGAUGGCC